GUGAGCAGAAGGAGGAUGAUCAGAAAGAAGCUUCUCCUCAUGGUGCUCAAACGCCAGGCGCCGCUACGAGGAGGACUGGCCGCCGGGGCCUCAAUGUCCGGAGGAAGAUCGGGACUGCUCGCCGGAGAAGAAUCUGCCGCUGGUGCUGGUGCUGGCGCUGGUGCAGGUGCAGGUGCAGGGGCAGGGGCAGAAGCUGGAACUGCAACCGAGUUGGAAGCUUGGUAGCCUGCACAUAACAGGGGAAACCACACGUAGUUGAUGCUGCUGUUCUCACUAAAUCGCGAGUAGAUUUUAUCCAAAGAUGUGCUGCUACUUAC
RNAcentral lists this long non-coding RNA (317 nucleotides) under Musa acuminata (dwarf banana). RNAcentral's name for it is "long non-coding RNA (MACU_LNC003738)". Lineage: Eukaryota; Viridiplantae; Streptophyta; Magnoliopsida; Zingiberales; Musaceae. The record is from RNAcentral.